UACAGAGGUCCCAAGCGUUGUUCGGAUUCACUGGGCGUAAAGGGUGCGUAGGUGGUCAGGUAAGUCGGAUGUGAAAUCUCCGAGCUCAACUCGGAAACUGCAUUGGAAACUACCUGGCUCGAGGGUUGGAGGGGGGACUGGAAUGCUUGGUGUAGCAGUGAAAUGCGUAGAUAUCAAGCGGAACACCAGUGGCGAUGGCGAGUCCCUGGACAACUCCUGACACUGAUGCACGAAAGCUAGGGGAGCAAACAGG
RNAcentral lists this ribosomal RNA (253 nucleotides) under uncultured bacterium. RNAcentral describes it as "partial 16S ribosomal RNA". It matches the Rfam family "Bacterial small subunit ribosomal RNA", at positions 524 to 776 of the family's 1533-position model. The record is from RNAcentral.